AUACGGAGGGUGCAAGCGUUACUCGGAAUCACUGGGCGUAAAGCGCGCGCAGGCGGCUAUUUAAGUUGGAUGUGAAAGCCUACGGCUCAACCGUAGAACUGCAUCCAAAACUUUUUAGCUAGAGUGUGGGAGAGGAAGAUGGAAUUAGUUGUGUAGGGGUAAAAUCCGUAGAGAUAACUAGGAAUACCAAAAGCGAAGGCAAUCUUCUGGAACACUGCUGACGCUGAGGAACGAAAGCGUGGGGAGCAAACAGGAUUAGAUACCCUAGUAGUCC
This 274-nucleotide ribosomal RNA is filed under the name uncultured bacterium. RNAcentral describes it as "partial 16S ribosomal RNA". It matches the Rfam family "Bacterial small subunit ribosomal RNA", at positions 523 to 796 of the family's 1533-position model. The record is from RNAcentral.